RNAcentral lists this ribosomal RNA (740 nucleotides) under Micrococcus sp. M14. RNAcentral's name for it is "bacterial SSU rRNA". It matches the Rfam family "Bacterial small subunit ribosomal RNA", at positions 628 to 1364 of the family's 1533-position model. The record is from RNAcentral. Lineage: Bacteria; Bacillati; Actinomycetota; Actinomycetes; Micrococcales; Micrococcaceae.
GGGUACGGGCAGACUAGAGUGCAGUAGGGGAGACUGGAAUUCCUGGUGUAGCGGUGGAAUGCGCAGAUAUCAGGAGGAACACCGAUGGCGAAGGCAGGUCUCUGGGCUGUAACUGACGCUGAGGAGCGAAAGCAUGGGGAGCGAACAGGAUUAGAUACCCUGGUAGUCCAUGCCGUAAACGUUGGGCACUAGGUGUGGGGACCAUUCCACGGUUUCCGCGCCGCAGCUAACGCAUUAAGUGCCCCGCCUGGGGAGUACGGCCGCAAGGCUAAAACUCAAAGGAAUUGACGGGGGCCCGCACAAGCGGCGGAGCAUGCGGAUUAAUUCGAUGCAACGCGAAGAACCUUACCAAGGCUUGACAUGUUCUCGAUCGCCGUAGAGAUACGGUUUCCCCUUUGGGGCGGGUUCACAGGUGGUGCAUGGUUGUCGUCAGCUCGUGUCGUGAGAUGUUGGGUUAAGUCCCGCAACGAGCGCAACCCUCGUUCCAUGUUGCCAGCACGUCGUGGUGGGGACUCAUGGGAGACUGCCGGGGUCAACUCGGAGGAAGGUGAGGACGACGUCAAAUCAUCAUGCCCCUUAUGUCUUGGGCUUCACGCAUGCUACAAUGGCCGGUACAAUGGGUUGCGAUACUGUGAGGUGGAGCUAAUCCCAAAAAGCCGGUCUCAGUUCGGAUUGGGGUCUGCAACUCGACCCCAUGAAGUCGGAGUCGCUAGUAAUCGCAGAUCAGCAACGCUGCGGUG